UACGUAGGGUGCGAGCGUUAAUCGGAAUUACUGGGCGUAAAGCGUGCGCAGGCGGAUGUUUAAGACAGGUGUGAAAUCCCCGGGCUCAACCUGGGAAUGGCGCUUGUGACUGGACAUCUGGAGUACGGCAGAGGGGGGUGGAAUUCCUGGUGUAGCAGUGAAAUGCGUAGAUAUCAGGAGGAACACCGAUGGCGAAGGCAGCCCCCUGGGCUGAUACUGACGCUCAUGCACGAAAGCGUGGGGAGCAAACAGG
Molecule: ribosomal RNA, 253 nt
Filed under: uncultured bacterium
Lineage: Bacteria
Description: partial 16S ribosomal RNA
Rfam family: Bacterial small subunit ribosomal RNA
Source: RNAcentral